UUAUCGCGAAAUUAUCGGAACUGUGGAAGUCGGAGACGAACGCCGGAGCUUCUACAGCUCCGGGCGACUGUAAAACAACCCCUAGACUCCGAUCUAGGUAUGAACAUGAAAUAGAAGAUGAGAGGAAUGUUUUUAUAACGUCCGUUUGCCGUGAAACGGCCGGAGGUGUUCGGAAAGUGCGACGACACCGACGGCCUUGCCGGAGAUGGGUGUGCCUAUCCCGAGUCGAUUUCAUCCCAAAAACCUUGCAAAAAGACGAGAUAUAACUUCAAUUUCACAUCUAAGCUUCGAUCUAGAACAUAAAAAGAAAAACCCAAAGCUUACCUAACCGGAGAAAUAGAAGGAACUCGCCGGAGCAGGUGCGAUGGUGUGCAUGUGGGUUCGACGAGGAGGGAGGAGCAGAGGAGAUGGGUGAUGAGACCUAAAAACCCUUAACCAAACCAUUAUUAAGUUGAGAAGCGUGAGAGUGCUUUGAACACUCUUUCGUGGCCUUCCACCGUGGUAGGCUCCAAUCGUUUGUGACUCGUACACCGGCUUCACCCUAUCAUGGGGGAGUACAAAGUGCGUGCUUACACUCAGGAGGAGUCUAUAUGCAUACUUGAUGUUGUGAAAGGUAGGCAACGAGAAUAGCCAACAUCAUCUCAUUGUGAGGUUGUUCUUGAACCCCUACCCGAACUUGCAUGGUGGGAAAUGACUUAACUAAGUGCAAUAGAGCCAACAUCAUAUCAUUGUGAGGCUACAUUCUCUAGAGGCCAAAUAAGAUGGGUACUUGCAAGCAUGGAAGAAAAUAUCGAUAAUAUCGGCGAUAUAUCACCGAUAUUAUCGAAUUUUCGUUAACCCGAUAUUCUAAGUGGUAUCCAAGGGGUUUUCGUCAUAAUUUCGCGAUAAUAUCGAUAAUAUCGAUAAUAUCGCGAUAUUAUCGAUAUUAUCGCGAAAUUAUCGGAACUGUGGAAGUCGGAGACGAACGCCGGAGCUUCUACAGCUCCGGGCGACUGUAAAACAACCCCUAGACUCCGAUCUAGGUAUGAACAUGAAAUAGAAGAUGAGAGGAAUGUUUUUUAUAACGUCCGUUUGCCGUGAAACGGCCGGAGGUGUUCGGAAAGUGCGACGACACCGACGGCCUUGCCGGAGAUGGGUGUGCCUAUCCCGAGUCGAUUUCAUCCCAAAAACCUUGCAAAAAGACGAGAUAUAACUUCAAUUUCACAUCUAAGCUUCGAUCUAGAACAUAAAAAGAAAAACCCAAAGCUUACCUAACCGGAGAAAUAGAAGGAACUCGCCGGAGCAGGUGCGAUGGUGUGCAUGUGGGUUCGACGAGGAGGGAGGAGCAGAGGAGAUGGGUGAUGAGACCUAAAAACCCUUAACCAAACCAUUAUUAAGUUGAGAAGCGUGAGAGUGCUUUGAACACUCUUUCGUGGCCUUCCCACCGUGGUAGGCUCCAAUCGUUUGUGACUCGUACACCGGCUUCACCCUAUCAUGGGGGAGUACAAAGUGCGUGCUUACACUCAGGAGGAGUCUAUAUGGAUACUUGAUGUUGUGAAAGGUAGGCAACGAGAAUAGCCAACAUCAUCUCAUUGUGAGGUUGUUCUUGAACCCCUACCCGAACUUGCAUGGUGGGAAUGACUUAACUAAGUGCAAUAGAGCCAACAUCAUAUCAUUGUGAGGCUACAUUCUCUAGAGGCCAAAUAAGAUGGGUACUUGCAAGCAUGGAAGAAAAUAUCGAUAAUAUCGGCGAUAUAUCACCGAUAUUAUCGAAUUUUCGUUAACCCGAUAUUCUAAGUGGUAUCCAAGGGGUUUUUCGUCAUAAUUUCGCGAUAAUAUCGAUAAUAUCGAUAAUAUCGCGAUAUUAUCGAUAUUAUCGCGAAAUUAUCGGAACUGUGGAAGUCGGAGACGAACGCCGGAGCUUCUACAGCUCCGGGCGACUGUAAAACAACCCCUAGACUCCGAUCUAGGUAUGAACAUGAAAUAGAAGAUGAGAGGAAUGUUUUUAUAACGUCCGUUUGCCGUGAAACGGCCGGAGGUGUUCGGAAAGUGCGACGACACCGACGGCCUUGCCGGAGAUGGGUGUGCCUAUCCCGAGUCGAU
RNAcentral lists this long non-coding RNA (2082 nucleotides) under Malus domestica (apple). Its description in RNAcentral is "long non-coding RNA (MDOM_LNC016741)". Lineage: Eukaryota; Viridiplantae; Streptophyta; Magnoliopsida; Rosales; Rosaceae. The record is from RNAcentral.